CAUUUACCAUUCAGCUCCUUCUGCGGAGGUUAUCCAAAAAUAGGCUCUCCUUCUGCUUUUCGAUUUCGAAAACUUCACUUAAGCUGGUUUUCUUUUCUUUUGCUUUAAUUUCACUGCUCUGCUUUUUGGUUAAAUUUUACUUCUUUUUUUAUAUAUUUUUUUUUUUUUUCGGGCUAAGGAAGAGGAGUUCUUCUGCUCUCGGGUUUUGAAAUUCAAAUCACAAAAUGGCCCGAAAUCAAUUUAUGCAACCGCUUGCUUUGCUCUCGAUAUAUACAAAUAUAUUUGUUUCGCAUUGAACGCACUUUUAUGUGAAGUUUUAGGCCGACAAUUGAUACACAAAAAUAUGUUGCUUUGUUUGUUUGUUUGCCAGCGAAUCACUGUUGUUGUUGUUGCUGCUUCUGUAGCUGUAGCUGCUGCUGCUGCUGCUGCUUGAUGUUGCUGCUGUCACUUGGGAGUUUCGGAGCGUUCGCGUGCCGCGCGCUUUGAGCAACGAGAUACAACUGAAAACGACAGCGAAACGAAGGCGAAAAGUGGCCCACGUCGCAGUCGCUGCCUCGGCCGACGUCGCUGUUGGGGGGGCAAAGGGGGCAAAGCUUUUACAGUUCGCCAGCAGCAACAACACAGCAGCAGCUGAAGAAUACACCAAGCAAAACAAAGAAGCGAAAAGAGCAGUCGACUCAAAAAUGAGAUAGAGAGGGAUAUACAAAUCAGAAAGGGAGGGCUACACAGAUCAGAAAGAGACGGCCAUAAGAGAGCAUUUUCAGAGAGAGAGAGAGAGAGAGAGAGAGAGAGCUUUUGCUGAACGCUUUUGCAUGAAGCAUUGCAGUUGCAGCGACGCCGGCAGAGCACCAAUUGAAAUUGAGUAACAAGAUUUGCUGAUGCUGCUGCUGCUGCUGCUGAUGUGUUUGUUGCAUGCAACUGCUGCGACUUCGGCGACUGCAAAAGAGGAAAAAGCUGCCUAACCGGUGUUAGAUGCAUUUGCAUCUGUUUUGCACGUUUUUCUUCAGCAGUUUGGCAAUGUAGCCGUUGGCACAUAAAAUCAAAAUGAAAAACGAGCCAAGAAAAAGGCAGCCUCCGCUUCAGCCGAAGUUACAUAAGCCUUGAUUUAGAUGACGGCUUAAAUGUGCAUUUGCAGUUGGAAUUGCAAUUGCCUGGCUUUUCUUGGAUCUGAUUGCCCGGGGACAACAGGACGCAUCGCUUGACAAUUUCCUGCUUUCCAACCACUUUUGAUAGUUUUCCCACACAAAAACCAAAUGACAUCCGCUGGAUAGUUUAAAAUGGAGUCAAUUUGCAAUGAAAGUUUGGCUUUUGAAAGCCUAAACGAGGCUGGCUUGUGGCAAUUACUUAUAAAGAGAAAGCACAUAAGGUUAGGUUUUUUUUAAUUAAUUAAAACAUUCUUACUCAACUAAAACUUGUUUAAAUUUCUUAUAAGAAUAACUUAAAUUGAGGUACUUUACACGACUAAUUAGUCAGUACUAAGCAUGGUUGCGAAUGCACUCCCUUAAUUAGGGUGGACCGUAUUCCACUCACUCGAAAACCGUUAGAGGAGCACUGGCUAAUUUACAGCACGCAACACGCAGCGGUUGAGUGUGUUUUAAAAUCGUAUUAUGACCCCUCCUCGUGCAUUGGAUUCUCCAGCAAAUCAGUACACCACACUGCCCCUGAAAAUUGCACGCGUCUCAAGGGCCGACUUCCUCCAGAAAAGCACUUUUUACCCCAUUGCUGGCCAUUCGCGCAGUUCCCUGCCCUUUUUGGCAUGUCAGGCACGUCUUUACAUGCUGCCAGUUUUGAUUUAAUUUAGUUGCGACUACGAGCAGAGAUGAGGCGCAUAGUCGGGCAACUCGAGUACUUGGUACAGGGAGCCACCAUCGAUCACGCUCCUCCAGCGUCUUCAUCGUUUUCAUUUCAUAAGGCUGGGCAUUGAGAUCAGCCGCAGAUCAGCAGCUCGAGCAAUUUGCCAUGCAACCUCAACCUCAAAGUCCAUCCUCAUCUUCUUCGGGUUGAUUAAGCAGUUAAGUCGGAGGAGCGCUGAAGGUGUUCCCAACAAGCCGUCAAAGUGGCCGCCACCAUGAUGAUCAUCUUCGUCAACUGUGGCCACACUCGAGAGCACACACAUCUCAUCGCCACCACUCCACUCCACUCCACUACACUCCACACCCUUCCGCCUUUUCCUUGGCCCCUUUUCCUUUCCCGGCGAAAAGGUCAACGCAUUCUGCAAAAUCGUGGAGGGAAAUGCCACACAACACCAACUGCCACUGCUGCAACAUGGCAGCGGCGUGUUAAUUGAAGACAGCCACUCCGACGAAGGGGGGCUUAAGUGAAUCAAAGGGGGCUAUAUAGCUAUAGAGCUAUAGAGCUACGUAGCAUUGGCCAGCCUGUUCGAAAUCCAAAACGCUUCACUGAUUUCUGCGUUGGCAGCGGCAGCCCGUCGUAAUGCAAUGGUUGCUGCUGCCACCGCAGCACAUUCGAAGUUGCUUCCUCAUUUCUGCGGCAUGCACAAACUCAUAACAAUGCACAACGAGAAAAAGUGUCAUCAAACACCUAACGUAUUAUAUUAAAAAAGUAAAAAAAACAUUAACCUGUUACUCGUGGAGUAAAAGGGUAUACUAGAUUCGGUAAAGAGUAUGUAAGAUAGAAGAAAGCGUUCCCGACCCUAUAUAAUUUAUAUUUCUAGUCAGGAUCACUAGCCAAUACCAUCUGGUUAUGUCCGUCUGUUUGUCCGAACGUCGAGAUCUCGGAAGCUAGUUGUUUAUGCAAGUUUGUUUAUUACCGUUAAAACCUUGAUUUUGUAGAAAAUUUUAUUGCUUAAUUCCACACGCAAAGGAAAUAUUCAAAAAUUCUCUUUCGUACUCCUUUUUUUAGCUAAGUAAUGGCUAUCUGAUAGUCGAGAAAUCGGAAAGUAUAUUUCUGUCAUUUAUACAUAUAUAUAAUGUAUAAUCCUAUAAAAAUUUUUAACUUUAAAUUGGGAAGCUUAUGCUAUAAAGUUAAGCUCCCCUUCAAUGUGCAGAUUUUGAUGUCUCCCAGAUUUCCCGCCCCAGGUCUUUGUAAUUAUAUUAAAAAAGGCAUUUAGAUAGCCAACUGCAAUCCGUCCAUAAAGUCGCUCUAAAUUGGUGAGGUUUUGGCGUCUUCCGGGUGGCAGUUAGCCAUUAACGACGCGUAAAGUUGCAGCAGCAGCAACAUUAUCCAAAGUGGCAGCAACCCAAACAGCUGCUUAAUCAGGGAACUUGGAUACCCAAAUCCACUCCCCAGUCAGCCAGAUAAUGCCCUGGUACUCGUGCCCGAGCUCGUAUUGUCGAAGUCGUUGGCCAGAAUCGCGGAAGUGCCAAGAAAAAUGCGUGUUGCUGUUGCUGCUGCUGCUGCUGCCGUUUCUGCUGAUGUUGCUGCUGUUGUUGCUGAUGUUGUUAUUGCAGCUGGGCGUUGAACCCAAAGGCGGGUGCACUUGCCGCCGCCGCGGGCGAUGCGUUGUCAACUAUUUGUGGAGGAUUGUGGGGGAAUUCUGGGGAAUGGCGGCGCAUCAUAAUCAUUUAUUUUCGCACUAGACAACAACACAGUGCAACAAAGUGCGCUGGCUAAUUUUAUAAACUUAUUUUCUUCUGCAUCGCCAGUGAUUGUUAUUUUUUCAGUUUUUUGUACUAUUUGUAUACCCGUUACUUGUAGAAUAAAAGGGUAUACCACACUCGCUGAAAAGUAUGAGUAUCUGGUCAUGUCCGUCCGUUUGUUCGCCCGUAUGAAAUCACAAGCCGCACAACUUCCCCUUUCUUACUCUUGAAAAAAUUGUAGAUUUUUUUGAAUCUCUUUAUAUGUUUUGCACUCCCACUAGUUAAGCAACGGGUAUCUGAUAGUCGAGGAACUCGACUAGAUCGUUCUCUCUUGUUUCAGUUUGCAUUUACGUUUUUUAUGACAUUUACUAAGACAUUCUUAUGCCGGGCACGUUGGUUGGGAGGGGGAAAACGCACCGAGGGGCGUCCGCAGUGAUUGACAUUUAGAAGUCAACGUUCGGGUGGCUUUGUUGCUGCUGCUGCGGUGGCUUUGCCGUCAUUGUCUUUGUCACCCACCCACCCAAAGUCCCUCCCCCCUGAUUACCACCCCUUUAAGUGUGCGACAUUUCUUGGCAAUUUAUCGAUGCUUUGGGACGUUAAUUGUGUGGGAGGGGGGGUCUCAUAAUUGCACUGCGAUAUGAAUCAAGUGGGUGUCUCCUCGAUUGCAACUAUAAUUGCAAUUGAGUUCUAUCAACUAAUUAUAUAUAUAAUGGUUAUGACUUUGCAAGCCACAGACAAAGUGUCUUUCGCGGGGAUAUCCCACGAACAAUGACAAUUGCUGCCAUGUUUGCCAAUUUGUUCACCUGUGAUCUUCUCAUUUUAAAGUAAAUAGAUACAAAUUACGCAUAAACUCUCUGGAAAUUUACUGACUCACAAAAAGUGUACAUUUCCUAAGUUGCAAGUGAUGCAGAAAUGUGCCAAUUGCACAGCAAGCUGUGAAUAACGUUUGUUCUGAAGGGUCACGGAGUUCAAUAAACUCAAGAAAAAAUGGAAUGUGGUUAAUGAUUACUUACAGUAUUUUUGAAAGAAGUGUAGAGAAUGUUCUCGAAUUGAUUUAGUAUACAACAAAUUCCACAAUAAUUAAUAUCAUAUAUAUGUAUAUAUAUUCAAAUACCUACCUCGAUUCUGUGAUGUAGUUAAGUUAUUUGUAUAAUUGUUUUGUAUAUCAUCACAAAAUUUGGUUUCAAAAAUAUUUGGAAAAUAAGUGGUUUGAUCUUCAAUAAACGAAACAUAUUAUUCGACAAUAGUUUGAGUUUGGGAGUAUCUUUGUUCAAAUCGCUCGUUUUAAUGCCAAAAUGCGCUAAAUCACUUGCAUUAAUUUAAUUAUACGCUUUGUGUUGUGCCUCAAAUAAGUUUUCAAGCUUUUUGUAGAUUUAGCAAGGCGACAAGGUGAUAAUUGAACUUUAAAUAGAGGGACAACUGCAGCCGCAAUCGGCGGCAACAUCAACAUCUACCGGGCGGAUACAAACGAGUUUCGUUGUAAUUGGCGGACAGAUUGCUCGCGGGGCACGCAUGCGUAGCACGGCUGCAACAUGCGACACAAACGACAACGAACAAUGAGCCGCAACAAAGGUGAGUGCAUUAAUUAACAUUAGCAAUUAGUCGGAGAGAAUAUGUUGCAACACCUGGGGGCAACGACAGCAGAAACAACAACUCGCAGCAGCAGUAGCAUCAGAAACAGAUCGCAACGCAGAUUGACUCAUUCAAGCGGCAACAGGUGCUGGUGCAAUCCGCUUUGUUAUUAUAUUGAAUUGUUUUACGAUCGAUUUUUCAUUUCUGGUUGAACUGUUUACUCAACUUUUCAGCUUAUGCAGCCGUAGCCCGGCUAAAAAUUGUUUAUAAACGAGUCGCACGCAAUAACAACACUUUGAAUACGUAAUUAAAUAAUUAAGCGGCUACAAAUUUUUGGCAAUAUUUUAUUUACUUUUCGCCGUUCAUGUUUGUGUUCUUGCUUUUAUUGCAUUUUGUGUUUGCUGUUGUGGCUGACUCGCUUCGCGAAAAGUCAUAAACACUGCAUUGCCCGGUCUUCUGGGCAAGAAGGGGUACUUCCGGAGGGGAUUUCGGCUGGGAAGUUGGGCAAUGGCAGCGGAAGCAGCUCACCAGUUCAGCGCCAAAGCCAAAGCCACAACGGCAACGAACGACGACUGAAAGUGAAAGGCGCCGGGGGAAUUUCAAAGGAAGCGGAAAGGAAAGGCUGGCGCUCGGGGAGUUCAAUCGCAAACGGAAUCGAAAUCUGUAAGUGUGUUGAACCCGAUGAGGAAAUCGAUAAGAGGUUUAAUGAGAUCCAGAGAGAUAUUCGUGAACUGUAAGCCGCGGGGUGAGGAUUUCAGAUAAAUUUAGAAGUAUUAAUACUGAUACCUUACGUUCUGGGAAUCCCCCAAAAAUGUUUAGAAACU
Drosophila yakuba is the source of this 5935-nucleotide long non-coding RNA. RefSeq lists it as uncharacterized. The record is from RefSeq and is a predicted model, not a curated record. NCBI's taxonomy places the organism in Eukaryota, Metazoa, Arthropoda, Insecta, Diptera, Drosophilidae. The transcript has 2 exons.